UAUAAAUACUUUUUUAAAGUUUUAUUAAAUUUGACAUUAUUAUUAAACAGUAUCAUCCAAUCCUCCUGCCAUUCCAUUCUAAUCCUCUUCCUCUGGACCAUGCUGCCUUCUGCAAGGGAGUGGAAUCCUGGCCUCAUAUUUUUCUUAUUACUAUAAUCCAUGGGGAUUUGUUGCAUGUAGAAAUUAUUUUAUAGAUAUAAUAAAUUUUAUUAUUUGAGCAAUGUUUUUCUGUUUAGAAAAAAAGAGAGUAACUUUUGCUUACUUUAAAUUCAAUCAAACUGAGAAAGAGACAAAGAGAGAGAAGAAAGAAAGAUUGAUUUACUCAAACCCAGCAUUAGAAACAUCUUACUCACCCCAGGCCUACAGAAUCAAAUUCUCAAGGCUGGAGGCCCAGCAUCUGCACUUGUAACCAGGUUUCCAGGAUGAAGAGGAUCUCCCAGGGCUUUUCUCAGGGGAUCAGCCUCUACGUUAAGAAGUGUCACAAGGAGGGGAUAAUUUUAAUCCAACACAUAGAAAGCGUCAUGAACUCAAAGAGGACUUUAGCCUUUUGGUUGACGUUGUGAUUGGCAAGUAGCUCAUGGGGUAAUCUUUGCCAUAGUGACAUUGUAUAUAUUCAUUUGUGUCUUUCUUACUUAUAACUUUUAAUUUUUCUCCUUAAUUACCUGACUGUUAAAAGUUUGGAAUUUCUGGGGGUUUCCUUCUCUUUCUUUCACCUCCCCAAUGAUAUCCAAUAAGUAUUCCAGUUUAUAUAAAAAUAUAAGAAUAAUAUUUGCACUUGGUGAGUGCAAUUUAACUUAAUAUCCUUUUGAAAUUGAGAUAGAUUUCAUAUACCAUCAAAUUAUCCUCCUAAAGUAUAUGAUUCAGUGGAUUUUACUACAUUUACAAAGCUGCACAGCCAUCACCACUGUCUAAUUCUAGACCUAGGAAAUGCCAUAGUCCUCCCUGCUUCCUGCCUAUGAAAUGUGUGGCUUGCCCUUAGGGUCCUCAUGAGGGAGACUCAGAGAAUGGAGAAAAUUCAAGUCCAUCAUGAUAGCACCUUGGCUGUGAAUUCACAGAACAGAGAUUGCAAGACCAGGACCCUCAAAUUUGACCAACUCAGAGACCCUGAGGCUGCCCCAGGGAUUGGGAUCUUACUUCUUCAAAGCAGAAGAGAGUUUCAAAUGAGAUUAGACCAUGACAACAGUGACUAUCACUAUCUAGAUGACAGAAGGUUUAAGGAAAAUAUUCAUUUACUAGUUUUCAAACUUGAUGAAAGAGAAAGCAUGAAUUAUAGACUCAGUAUUUAAAAACCAAAUACAUUAUUCAGAAUCAAAUAUAAAAGCCAGAUGCCACAAAUUACUCCCAAAUUCACAUUUUGAGAUAUGGUUGAUUCAAUUUCUGUUUGAGGAUGCAUUUUCCUAUGUGGCUUUUGGUUUAGAAGAGUCUUUUUCAGGUAAUCUUUUUCUAAGAACUAACCAAAAGGUAUUUGUUAUCCAAGAGUUGUCAUUACUGUUUCUUCAUUUAGGCACUCAUUUAUUUAUUCACAGGUUGCAUGCUGUCCGACCUGUCCUGGUUGGUGGGAGGGAUGGAGCCUGGCUUCCUGUGUAGAGUGCCCAUGGACUGGCUAGUCAGGAGCUUCAGCACCUCUUCCAGGAAUUGCAAGCAGAGCCUAACUUUCCUGUGGAGGCUGCUGGGUCUAAAUGCCUUCCACCUACUUUUUUCUGUGAAUUGACUUCUGUAUCCAAUAUGAUUGACAUAUUUAUUAUUGACCCUAUCUGACAAAAGUCAAGCAAUUAUGGAUCUACAUUUUUCUCUCUCAAUCUCAGGAGCCAAUAUAUUCAGUGUGAAAGCUCAAUUUUCAUUUGGAAGAAAAAAUAUUGGCUAAAGAAAAUUUUUUUCCUAAGUCUAAAUUUUUAAAAACUUUUUUAACCUACAAGGAAUAUGUUGUGUUAUGAUUGAUAUAUAUGUUUUUGUCCUUAGUCCCUAGCGCAUAACUCCCCUAGCUCUUGUUAAAAUCUUUUGUCAUAAUAUUGGGUGUGUUAGUUCACAGAAGCAGGCCCCGGGGAACUGAAUGUCUCUACUGCCCUCUUUCUCCUACCCCAACUCAGGACUCUAAUCUUCUCUCACCUAUCUAAUUAGGGAUCUUAGGAAAUUCCCCUGAGAGGGUUCCACCCUGUACCCUAUACUGGGGGAAGGAAUGCUGAUAUCACAAAUCUUCCAUGAACACCCAAAACGACUGGGUUCAGAGGGCUUUUGGAAAGCUGGACAUGUGGAGGCCAACAGGAAGGUGAAGAACUCAUCCACGUGCUGUGAGGGUGGCCUACCCCAACUCCAUGGGUACAGAAGGUCCUGCAUUUAGGACUCAUCUAGACCUCACACCUAUGUAUCUCUUCAUCUGAUUACUUAUAUCCUUUCAAAGAUCCUUCUUAGUAAACUGGUAAAUGUUAAGUUUUUCUCUGAGUUGUGUGAGACACUCUAGCAAAUUAAACCCAAAGAGGGGGUCUUGGGGACCCCAACUUGAAGCCACUUAAGGUUCCGGAGACCCAAAGUAACAACUUGGAGGAAGAAAAGCCCUGAGCCCUCAACCUAUGGGAUGGGACACUCUCUCUAGGUGGACAGUGCUGAAGUUGAAUUGAAGGACACCCAGCCAGUGUUCACUGUUGGCAGUGGGGGAGAGUAUCCACACAUUUGGCCAUAGAAGUCUCCUGGGGUGAUUGUUGUGUUCUGAAAGUGGAGGAGAAACACAGUGUGAGAGUUGUUUUUUCUGACACAAAAUAAAAAUAUAAUUUAAAUACAUUUGGAAAAUAGAUAUGUCUUUAUUAACACCAUUCUCAAUUCAUCAAAUUUCAGAUGAAAGAAAGGUCUAUUUGGUGAAUUUAAGGAUUUGAGCCCAGGCAAUAAUAGAUUUAAAUACAAAAGUGUAGAGGUGUCAUUAUUAUACAUUUUCCUCCUAAGUGAGUAUGAUGAGCUUUAUCGGUUGAAAGAUCGCUACUGAGAGUCAAUGGCACUGAGUUAUAUUUUAACCUUUAGCAUAUGACAGAAUAAACCAUUAGCAUAAUCUUAUUCACAUUGUUUCUGUGUUGGCAGAGCCUACCACAGAGUUCCAGCACCUCCCUUUGUCACCCCAAAGCAUCACGUUUAGCCAUCACUUUACCGCUUCAUCUGAGACAUUACUCUUUUGUCUGUGCUAACACUGAUGGAUUUUCAAACUGUCUUUUAAACACUAGACUUUGUAUUUGUAAGGCCCCUUUCCACUGCUAGGGCAACUGGAAUUGCACUUUGAAGUUGGCAUAUAAUCCUUUAUAGUCUUAAUAUGUGAGGAUCCCAACUAUGUACUAAGGCAUGAUGAACUCCCUCCAUUCAGACAACGACCCCAAUCCUGUGAAGCAGGGAGUGAACAUGGACGUGGAUGGUCAGAUGGACCCAUUUCUCCAUGAUGUGUUCAAAACGAUUUCUUAUGCCUCCAGUGAAUUCAUGGGAAUCCUUGCUGAUUGAUGUAAUAAAGCUUGUAAAUGAUAUAAAAAAGAAAUUUUGGAAAAACAGGCUGAAUGGCAAAUAUAGACACAAUACCACUACUAAUUAUGAUGUUAAAUUAUGUAGAGGUUGUCAUACAUGCUGAGGGACCACUGGUCUUCAUCUACUAUUAAAAGUCACCCUAAUGGAUAGUUUUUUUGGCAUGCAAAGUGGUUCAGGAUGUUUUUAUUGGCUACUUGUCUUAUAACUAAGCAGAUUUUCCACAAGGCUGGUCUAAGAGUUAGGGUGUGUAGUAUGAACAGUGUAGGAAAAUGUACUGGAUACUAUUUUGUACAGUUUGUCUCCAUGGUGAAUCUGUUAUGUCAGAGGCUCUCACUCCGUUUUUUUUUUUUUUUUUUCUUUUUUUCUCUGAGUUUUAAAAUCCACAAAAUAGGAGAAAAGAACAAAAUCUUUUUGUAGUCUACAACUGCUAACAAAUUAAUCACUGAAAUCCCUUUGGAAACCAACAUAGAUGUGACUUACACCAAUGUAUGUGGACUCAGGGUCUAUUGAGCUCAGGAAUGUACCUCUGUUGGAAACUGAAUAGAUAUUACAUCUCUGUGAAACCUGCCAUGGCAUCAUGGUGUUUUAACAUUAAUCACAAAAAAAAAGUUAUUUUGAUUUUCUGCUGAGGUUUGAUUAAUUUUACUGACAAAAGAGGCAUUACAAAAGAAAGGAGCUCUUCGAAAAACUGAAAAUUUAAUAGGAAAUUUUAUUAAAUACAUCAUUUUGAUUUGCAAUCCUGUUAUAAAAUUUGAAAAGUUCAUAUUCUACAUUUGAAUUGUCCAUAUGUUUCCUUAAUAAGCUGCAAUAAAAAUAGAAUAUAAAAGUAUGCAGCUUCUCAUCAGUUUUAUCU
Long non-coding RNA from Sapajus apella (tufted capuchin), 4348 nucleotides. RefSeq lists it as uncharacterized. NCBI's taxonomy places the organism in Eukaryota, Metazoa, Chordata, Mammalia, Primates, Cebidae. The record is from RefSeq and is a predicted model, not a curated record. The transcript has 3 exons.